Pipra filicauda (Wire-tailed manakin) is the source of this 283-nucleotide long non-coding RNA. RefSeq lists it as uncharacterized. The transcript is spliced from 2 exons. NCBI's taxonomy places the organism in Eukaryota, Metazoa, Chordata, Aves, Passeriformes, Pipridae. The record is from RefSeq and is a predicted model, not a curated record.
CAGUGGAGCACCACCCAAUCUGGCACCGAGUCCCCCCAAAAAAGCACUGGAAGGAAAGAAGCUUUUCUCCUUCAGGUUAUCUUAUCAACUUCUCUACUGUUUAUUUACAAGGAGCCCACUAAAUGACAUUAAUGCUCCAAGAAGUCAAGGAUGCCCUAACAAUACUAACCUGAUGAACAAGCCAAUACUGGUGCCAAGUGCUAUCAUCCCUGCAUUAUGAGGAGAGGAGAGAUUAAGGACCUCAUUCUAAUCUUUUGCAUCAGUAUAAUGUCAUUUGAUUUCA